UGGUGGGGUGACUUGUCUGCUUAAUUGCGAUAACGAACGAGACCUUAACCUGCUAAUAGCCCGCAUUGCUCCGGCAGUGCGCUGGCUUCUUAGAGGGACUUUCGGCUCAAGCCGAAGGAAGUUUGAGGCAAUAACA
Molecule: ribosomal RNA, 136 nt
Filed under: uncultured eukaryote
Lineage: Eukaryota
Description: partial 18S ribosomal RNA
Rfam family: Eukaryotic small subunit ribosomal RNA
Source: RNAcentral